UACGAGGGGGGCAAGCGUUGUUCGGAAUUACUGGGCGUAAAGGGCUCGUAGGUGGCCAACUAAGUCAGACGUGAAAUCCCUCGGCUUAACCGGGGAACUGCGUCUGAUACUGGAUGGCUUGAGUUUGGGAGAGGGAUGCGGAAUUCCAGGUGUAGCGGUGAAAUGCGUAGAUAUCUGGAGGAAUACCGGUGGCGAAGGCGGCAUCCUGGACUAACACUGACGCUGAGGCGCGAAAGCUAGGGGAGCAAACGGG
RNAcentral lists this ribosomal RNA (253 nucleotides) under uncultured bacterium. RNAcentral's name for it is "partial 16S ribosomal RNA". It matches the Rfam family "Bacterial small subunit ribosomal RNA", at positions 524 to 776 of the family's 1533-position model. The record is from RNAcentral.